RNAcentral lists this ribosomal RNA (254 nucleotides) under uncultured bacterium. RNAcentral's name for it is "partial 16S ribosomal RNA". It matches the Rfam family "Bacterial small subunit ribosomal RNA", at positions 524 to 776 of the family's 1533-position model. The record is from RNAcentral.
UACGAAGGGUGCAAGCGUUACUCGGAAUUACUGGGCGUAAAGCGUGCGUAGGCGGUUUGUUAAGUCUGUCGUGAAAGCCCCCGGGCUCAACCUGGGAAUGGCGAUGGAUACUGGCGAGCUAGAGUACGGUAGAGGAGAGUGGAAUUCCCGGUGUAGCAGUGAAAUGCGUAGAGAUCGGGAGGAACAUCAGUUGCGAAGGCGGCUCUCUGGACCAGUACUGACGCUGAGGCACGAAAGCGUGGGGAGCAAACAGG